UGCGCAGGCGGUGGCUCAAGUCAGAUGUGAAAUCCCCAGGCUUAACCUGGGAAUUGCAUUUGAAACUAAGUCGCUAGAGUUUGGCAGAGGGGGUGGAAUUCCACGUGUAGCAGUGAAAUGCGUAGAGAUGUGGAGGAACACCGAUGGCGAAGGCAGCCCCCUGGGCUAAAACUGACGCUCAUGCACGAAAGCGUGGGGAGCAAACAGGAUUAGAUACCCUGGUAGUCCACGCCCUAAACCAUGUCAACUAGUUGUCGGGAGAGCAAUCUCUUGGUAACGCAGCUAACGCGUGAAGUUGACCGCCUGGGGAGUACGGUCGCAAGAUUAAA
Molecule: ribosomal RNA, 329 nt
Filed under: uncultured bacterium
Lineage: Bacteria
Description: bacterial SSU rRNA
Rfam family: Bacterial small subunit ribosomal RNA
Source: RNAcentral